Molecule: long non-coding RNA, 255 nt
Organism: Alosa alosa (allis shad)
Lineage: Eukaryota; Metazoa; Chordata; Actinopteri; Clupeiformes; Clupeidae
Exons: 3
Source: RefSeq, a predicted model, not a curated record
ACUACCAGCUGCUACAGCACGGCCUCCAGCCGCAAGCACAGCAGCGCACACACACCCUGCAGCAGCUACGCUACACACUGCACACACACAGCAAGGAGUUGUCGGAUGUGACAUCGGGCAUGAGUCCAGCCACUAAGAAACAGCAGGAGUCCUUCAAUCAGAGUUGUGCUGGCCGGCGCUCUCUGGACUCUGAGAUCCAGCACCAACUCAGCCAGCUGGACCACAUACUGCAGCGGGAGGAGCAGAGAGGACGAG